UAGGGAAUCUUCGGCAAUGGACGAAAGUCUGACCGAGCAACGCCGCGUGAGUGAAGAAGGUUUUCGGAUCGUAAAACUCUGUUGGUAGAGAAGAACGUUGGUGAGAGUGGAAAGCUCAUCAAGUGACGGUAACUACCCAGAAAGGGACGGCUAACUACGUGCCAGCAGCCGCGGUAAUACGUAGGUCCCGAGCGUUGUCCGGAUUUAUUGGGCGUAAAGCGAGCGCAGGUGGUUUAUUAAGUCUGGUGUAAAAGGCAGUGGCUCAACCAUUGUAUGCAUUGGAAACUGGUAGACUUGAGUGCAGGAGAGGAGAGUGGAAUUCCAUGUGUAGCGGUGAAAUGCGUAGAUAUAUGGAGGAACACCGGUGGCGAAAGCGGCUCUCUGGCCUGUAACUGACACUGAGGCUCGAAAGCGUGGGGAGUAAACAGGAUUAGAUACCCUGGUAGUCCACGCCGUAAACGAUGAGUGCUAGAUGUAGGGAGCUAUAAGUUCUCUGUAUCGCAGCUAACGCAAUAAGCACUCCGCCUGGGGAGUACGACCGCAAGGUUGAAAC
This 553-nucleotide ribosomal RNA is filed under the name uncultured bacterium. RNAcentral's name for it is "partial 16S ribosomal RNA". It matches the Rfam family "Bacterial small subunit ribosomal RNA", at positions 355 to 900 of the family's 1533-position model. The record is from RNAcentral.